RNAcentral lists this transfer RNA (65 nucleotides) under Acmaeodera sp. NCS-2009. RNAcentral describes it as "tRNA-Asp". The record is from RNAcentral. Lineage: Eukaryota; Metazoa; Arthropoda; Insecta; Coleoptera; Buprestidae.
AAAAAUUUAGUUAAAAAAUAACAUUAGCUUGUCGAGCUAAAAUUAUUAACUACUAAUAAUUUUUA